Molecule: ribosomal RNA, 446 nt
Filed under: uncultured bacterium
Lineage: Bacteria
Description: SSU rRNA
Rfam family: Bacterial small subunit ribosomal RNA
Source: RNAcentral
AGAGCGAACGCUGGCGGCAGGCCUAACACAUGCAAGUCGAGCGCCCAGCAAUGGGAGCGGCAGACGGGAUAGUAACACGUGGGAACGUACCUUUCAGUUCGGAACAACCCAGGGAAACUUGGGCUAAUACCGAAUACGCCCGUAAGGGGAAAGAUUUAUCGCUGAAAGAUCGGCCCGCGUCUGAUUAGCUAGUUGGUGGGGUAAUGGCCCACCAAGGCGACGAUCAGUAGCUGGUCUGAGAGGAUGAUCAGCAUCACUGGGACUGAGACACGGCCCAGACUCCUACGGGAGGCAGCAGUGGGGAAUAUUGGACAAUGGGCGCAAGCCUGAUCCAGCCAUGCCGCGUGGAUGAUGAAGGCCCUAGGGUUGUAAAGUCCGUUUCGGCGGGGAAGAUAAGUGACGGUACCCGCAGAAGAAGCCCCGGCUAACUUCGUGCCAGCAGCCGC